RNAcentral lists this ribosomal RNA (429 nucleotides) under Acidobacteriota bacterium. Its description in RNAcentral is "Acidobacteria bacterium partial 16S ribosomal RNA". It matches the Rfam family "Bacterial small subunit ribosomal RNA", at positions 355 to 776 of the family's 1533-position model. The record is from RNAcentral. Lineage: Bacteria; Pseudomonadati; Acidobacteriota.
UGGGGAAUUUUGGACAAUGGGGGAAACCCUGAUCCAGCCAUCCCGCGUGUGCGAUGAAGGCCUUCGGGUUGUAAAGCACUUUUGUCUGGAAAGAAACGUCAUGGGUUAUUACCCCGUGAAACUGACGGUACCUGCAGAAUAAGCACCGGCUAACUACGUGCCAGCAGCCGCGGUAAUACGUAGGGUGCAAGCGUUAAUCGGAAUUACUGGGCGUAAAGCGUGCGCAGGCGGUUCGGAAAGAAAGAUGUGAAAUCCCAGAGCUCAACUUUGGAACUGCAUUUUUAACUACCGGGCUAGGGUGUGUCAGAGGGAGGUGGAAUUCCGCGUGUAGCAGUGAAAUGCGUAGAUAUGCGGAGGAACACCGAUGGCGAAGGCAGCCUCCUGGGAUAACACUGACGCUCAUGCACGAAAGCGUGGGGAGCAAACAGG